CAAGCUGCAGACUGUGCCAGAGCCUUCCGCAGCCGCACCCUGCCGUGCCUGGCAGCCCAGAGCACUCGUGCUGGGGGUGGGUGGGGUUGGGAGGAGCCCUUCUCCCGCUUUUCUGCUUCUCUAGCUCAAGCCUAGAGGACCUGGGCUGCCCUCGCUCAGGCAGGUGGCUCAUGGUGGGAACGGUUUGAUUUUCCCAAAAUAAAAGGGUGUGGGGAAAGGAAAUGCGGCUCUCCCGCUCCACCCUCUCCUCUGGGCGGGAAGCCAACAGAAGAUUUAUUUCCAGCACAGGCCCAGGCUCUCCGCAGGGUAUUUUUGGAGCGCGCGAACCUCAUUUUAGAGUUUGGGUGGCUCAUGCGCUGGGCAGAGCUGCGGGGGGCUCACGCGCUCCUCGUCGGUGGCUGCGGUCUGAAAGGCCCCAAGUCGACGAUCAAGUUUUAUCCACCCGAGCCCUCUGCUUCCUCGCGGCAGUGAAGCGGCGACUGUCCUGUGAGAGUAACUCGGAUCAGCAACAAGCCUGGAUGGCGCUGCGGCCACCGCGGCCCCGCCCGGCCAGAUGCCCCUCGGCCCUGCAGCCUCACCGGAGCCUGAGGCCUGGGGCUCAGAAGCGCCCCCGGAGCGGAGGUGUGGAACCUUCCUGCCGCAUGGCCAGGACCGUGCGCAGAUCCCGCACCGGGCCAGGUCCCGAGGAGCCGCAGCCCGGGUACGGCGGGAGCCCGGGUGCGCCUCAGGUGGGGAGAGGCGCCGCCCCCCCAAGAGCAGCUUUCCUACCGGCCGAACGCUGUGCCCGUGGUCCCGGCGGGGACAGGGAAAAGUUGCCGUGAAACAGGCCCCAAUAUUUAACGUUUACUUAUUUUUAAAUUGCAUGCCAGAGCCUCACAAGUU
This 882-nucleotide long non-coding RNA is filed under the name Dasypus novemcinctus (nine-banded armadillo). RNAcentral describes it as "lncRNA (ENSDNOG00000052436.1)". Lineage: Eukaryota; Metazoa; Chordata; Mammalia; Cingulata; Dasypodidae. The record is from RNAcentral.